Molecule: ribosomal RNA, 772 nt
Filed under: uncultured sediment archaeon
Lineage: Archaea
Description: bacterial SSU rRNA
Rfam family: Archaeal small subunit ribosomal RNA
Source: RNAcentral
UCCGGUUGAUCCUGCCAGACCUGACUGCUAUCGGAUUGAUACUAAGCCAUGCGAGUCAUUGUAGCAAUACAAGGCAGACGGCUCAGUAACGCGUAGUCAACCUACCCUAUGGACGGGAAUAACCUCGGGAAACUGAGUAUAAUGCCCGAUAGAACACUAUACCUGGAAUGGUUUGUGUUCCAAAUGAUUUAUCGCCGUAGGAUGGGACUGCGGCCUAUCAGUUUGUUGGUGAGGUAAUGGCCCACCAAGACUAUUACAGGUACGGGCUCUGAGAGGAGUGGCCCGGAGAUGGGUACUGAGACACGGACCCAGACCCUAUGGGGCGCAGCAGGCGAGAAAACUUUGCAAUGUGCGAAAGCACGACAAGGUUAAUCCGAGUGGUUUCUGCUAAAGGAACCUUUUGACAGUCCUAGAAACACUGUUGAAUAAGGGGUGGGCAAGUUCUGGUGUCAGCCGCCGCGGUAAAACCAGCACCUCAAGUGGUCAGGAUGAUUAUUGGGCCUAAAGCAUCCGUAGCCGGCUCUGUAAGUUUUCGGUUAAAUCUGUACGCUUAACGUACAGGCUGCUGGGAAUACUGCAGAGCUAGGGAGUGGGAGAGGUAGACGGUACUCGGGAGGAAGUGGUAAAAUGCUUUGAUCUCUCGAUGACCACCUGUGGCGAAGGCGGUCUACCAGAACACGUCCGACGGUGAGGGAUGAAAGCUGGGGGAGCAAACCGGAUUAGAUACCCGGGUAGUCCCAGCUGUAAACUAUGCAAACUCAGUGAUGCACUG